This 254-nucleotide ribosomal RNA is filed under the name uncultured bacterium. RNAcentral describes it as "partial 16S ribosomal RNA". It matches the Rfam family "Bacterial small subunit ribosomal RNA", at positions 524 to 778 of the family's 1533-position model. The record is from RNAcentral.
UACGUAGGUGGCAAGCGUUGUCCGGAUUAUUGGGUUUAAAGGGUGCGUAGGCGGUCUUCUAAGUCAGUUGUGAAAUACUUCAGCUUAACUGAGAGGUGCAAUUGAUACUGGAAGACUUGAGUACUGAUGAGGUAGGCGGAAUGGACGGUGUAGCGGUGAAAUGCUUAGGAUAUCGUCCAGAACACCGAUAGCGAAGGCAGCUACUAAGGAGUAACUGACGCUGAGGCACGAAACGUGUGGGGAUCAAACAGGGA